This is a long non-coding RNA of Vespa mandarinia (Asian giant hornet), 3168 nucleotides long. NCBI's taxonomy places the organism in Eukaryota, Metazoa, Arthropoda, Insecta, Hymenoptera, Vespidae. The record is from RefSeq and is a predicted model, not a curated record.
AUAUAUAUAUAUAUAUAAUGAUUUUAUGCGUUAUCCAUUGUAAUUAUAAUUUUCUUAUAUAAUGCCUGGAUAUUACCUGUUGCACAGGAAUUACAUAUCUGUGAUAUGUUCGGUUUGUUGAGAUCCUAAGAAACAUUAAUUAUUAAUAUUUCAUAAAUGUUGCAAGAUUUUAUUUUUUAACUGAAUCAUAAAUAUUUGUCACUCUGGAUGUAAUAAUUGGCUUCUAAAAUCUUUUCCCCUUUAUAAAUGUAUCUAUAAUAUUGAGUUAUUUACCUACUGAAAACAAAUAAACAAGUUUUCAGUCAAUUAUUGUUAAGAUAUUGCAGUGCUAUUAAAAAUAUAUGUCGAAAGAAUAGUUCUUUUUUUGUUUUAUGUUUGACCUUAUAGAAUUCUAAUUAUAAUCUGCUUUUUGUGUGCAACUUCAACAACUUCCUUUGCAUGCUGAAAUGCUUUAUAUACACAAACGAGGUAUCGAUGAAUAAAGUUUUAUUUAUUCUCUAUGAAGGAAGCUAAAUGAUGAUUUUUAAUCUGACAAAAUAAAAUUGCGGAUAUAUACUAUGUAGAAAAUAAUGCGAGCGAAAAAAAGCGGAUGAAAAUUAAAGAGAGAGAGAGAGAGAGAGAGAGAGAGAGAGAAAAUGUUUAAUGUAACACAAUUUUUGAGUAUGCAUGUUCUCAUCUUAUGCAACUAUAAAGCCAAACUUAAUACAUAUGUAUCGAAUAUAAGAAUGAGAGUGAUAACUUUGGUGUACGAUCGUGUAUGGUUGUUGUUAUUGUUAUUGUUGUUGUUUCAGGGAAAGUGAUAUCGCCCUUCACGGAUAAUAAGCUUUAUGUAAUACACGUGCCUGCGAUAGCUAUAAUAAAGAUCUGACAUUCCAAGCAGGACGUUACCCCUUCUCUUCGACGCAUUUCUGUCACUUUUCUUUUGCUGUUAUGAAGGAGCUAGGAUAUAAGGCUGACUUAGAGUACUAUGUACGAGGAAAGACUAAGCGUCUCAGGGAAGCAGAUAUAAGUAUAGAAAGAGGAUGACCUAGUUGCUACUCUGUGCCUCCCGAAAUAUUAGGAUAAACCCACGCGCGUAAUACAAUCCCAAUGCUAAGCUAACCAAAUUUAGCAUGUGACUUAGCAGACGCCCUCGAGACACUUACACGUACGAUGACUCAGUCCGAGGAGAAGAUCCGACGGACAGGAAUCAGGUGCACGGUAACGAAGAUCAUUCCAACAACCUCCAUCGGCGAAGCGACCUUUACCUUAACUUCGAGUCACGCGUACUGCGGAAUUAGUAUUUCUUCAAUGUUUAUAUGCGAUUUGUUUCUUCACGUGGUUAAGAUGCGUGUAUUUAUAGAGGUGAAUCUUACGGAGUUUGUCCUUGAAAAGAUGUUCGUUAAAAAAGAAAAAAGGAAAAAAACAAAAAAAAAAAAAAAGAGAAAGAGAACAAAAAUUGGCACCGUUGUCCAGCAUAGAUCCUCCCACUGUUUGAUACUUUAAUCAUCGAUAAGGAUCUGCUUUUCCGGGAUCGCAUGUAGGAUAUACGAAAGAUCAAACGAAAUCAGCAUUUAAAAUCGUUUGCCAGCGUCGAAGAGAUUUUACGAUUUAUAGUACGAGAUCAAUAUUUCACAUUCUCUUUUGUAACAACCUUGUUUAGAGAUUAUUUAAUCGGCGCGAUGUUUCACGUACGACACGUAAUCUCAUUGGAAUUCCUGUUGUGUCUGUAAAUAUAAGAACGUUUCGACUAUACUAUCUCUUUACUCGGGUCGAUCUCUUCUUAAAAUAGGUCAACUAUAACGAGAUUUUAGGGGUCAGUUGGUGGAUAUUGGUUAAUGAGAGACAUAAUAUGAAUCUAAGAAAAUGAGGUGCGUAAAGUAAGAGAACGUAAAUACGUCGAUAAAUCACUUAGGUCAAACUGAAAUGCAUUCUAAACGAGUUACUCUCUAGAAGAGUCAGAAUUUAGAAAUUCGAAGAUGUGUUAGAUACGAACGAUGCACAUGUAUGAAUUGAUAUAAUUCAAAUAAUACGAUUCAAAAAUAUCUUUCAUAACUCGGAUCCAAAGUUAGCUUAAGGUAUACUCCACCUAGGCACAUAUAUAUUUUUAAAUCGUCGUUUGUGGUACAAAAGUAACUUACUUAGUUGCUGGGUACAAGUUCAAGCAACGUACCACAAAUAACGCGCCGUGCCUUGAUAGUCUUCUACGUUAAUGAGAAACAUAGUCCGACUAUCGAUCCGAUAAAUUUUAUGGAAUGUCACUCGAUCGUGACAUGUAAUUCGAUAACAGAAAUACAAGCAAGAAUUAGGCAAGAAGCCCAGAUUUUCCGUGCAUCCGUAGCUGAGCGAUGACGAAUAUUUUUCAAGGUAAAUGCUGAAAUAUCCCUCUUACUCGAUGUACCGAAUUUAAUAUUUCUCCGAGCAUUGCCAAUUCUGCGUUAAGAAAGACGAACUUAUGUUACAGUAAUCCGUUACAUCUAUAAUCCUUGAUACGAUGAUUGCCAGAUAGUUUAUCUAUUAAAGUGUAUGCAUGCGUAAGGGAUAUCGCGUUAAGCCGAUCGAUGCGUCGUCGUUAGAAAUAUAGAAAUUACGUAGGACGGAGCUUAAUGUGAUAUAACUAUUUUUAAGAUUUUCAAUAGAUAUAUGUAGUAGAUAAAUGACAAUUUUUUUUUUUCAAGCUCUAUAGAACUUUUAAAAAAUAUAGAAAUACGUAUGACAAUUAGUAUAUUUUAACGUUCAUAUGCUUAUUUUGUGUGAGAAUAUAUUUUAGUUGGUGAAGGUAACGGUCAAUAGCUUUGAGGAUAACUCUUUGCCAACUGAAAGCGUAGUUAAAACAUACAUAGUUGUAGUGAUGUAUUUACUCUAAAGCAUAUCAAGAGUUCAGUCAGUGUCAACAAAGUCGGAGUACUUUUGUAACUCUACAUGUGUAUAUAUAUAUAUAUAUAUAUAUAUAUAUAUAUAUAUAUGUAUCGAAAAGAGCAUAAAUUUAUCUUUACUUUGAGACGGAUCUUCGUACAUGCCAACAGAUUAAUUCCACGUUGUAUUAAUUCGUUCGAGUGAUAAGAAACUCUAAUAACAUGACGUAUGUAUUUCGUGUUUCUCUAUUCCUGUUAAUCAGACUCCUGUUAAGUAUCCAGUCUCAAUUGAAAAUUACAUUCACGUGUUGAAUAAUAACAAUUAUCUGAAUUC